Long non-coding RNA from Xiphophorus couchianus (Monterrey platyfish), 2971 nucleotides. RefSeq lists it as uncharacterized. Lineage: Eukaryota; Metazoa; Chordata; Actinopteri; Cyprinodontiformes; Poeciliidae. The record is from RefSeq and is a predicted model, not a curated record. The transcript has 6 exons.
CUUUUCUUUAUCCCGCUGCUAGAUGUUUCAUUUUAGAUGUUAAGGAUUCUAGCUGGACAGGCAAUGCUGACUUUUUUGCUGUUGAUGAAUGUAUGACUAAAUGCUGGCGGAUGCUAAUUUAAAUUUCUGAGGAACAAGACCUUACUGCUGAACAAAAAACACUAAAAGGAGUCGGACAUGGAUGGUGCGUAAAAGACAAAUGCUAAAAGGAAUAAGACAACGCCACAGGAUUAAUACUAAAUCUAAACCAAUCUUGCUGGGCAAAAAUCAAACCAACAACAAUUAAGACAACGCAGCUCCGGACACUGGAAUCAAUACAAUUGAGACAACACUGCUGCAAAUGAAACUCUAAAAUUUAAACAAUAUUUCUGACAGUUCUAAUUUUUAAGACAUAAUAAAUUCAAUAUAAUAUGCAAUACAAUAUAAUCGGUUGAGCUCUGGUGUAAACGGAUUGAAACAGCGGUUUUAAAGUUAUAAUCAUUCUGGUCUGGACAUUAUAAAAUCCACAGGGAGUGAAGCGUUUUACGUAUGAAAUAACAGUAACAACGGGAGUUAAUUUAAAUGUUCAUAGAUGAAAGAGGAAGAGAGAAAUAGGCAGGACCUUUGGAUCCCGGAUAUGAACUGUUGAUCCACGGAUCAAUCAUUUGGCGGCUGGAUUCCAAAACCCUCAAGGCCACAUGUUAAAAUGAGCAAGACAUUUAAACUCAGGCGAUAAUUUUAAAAGUAAGUAAUGCUGCUGGGUGUCAAACCUAAAAUCUCUUAAGACUGAGAAGAGACAACGCUUUUCUGGACAAAUUCAUUUCUCUAAGGAUGGAGACAACGCUUCUCAAGUAGUGAGAAAUUUAAAUCUUUUAGGACUAAUAUGAUGUCACGGUGGACAAAUUAAAAUGUAGAGGAAUUAAAACAACCCCGCGGAGUACAAAUUAAAAUCUUUAAGGAUAAAAGAAAAAGACAGAAAUAAAUGCCAAGUUUCAGGGUGUAAUAGCGGUGCUUCCCCACACGGUGCGCUCUAAUAUAGUAAAUUGUUCUCACCUGUACCUUCAUUAAUCCAGUCUCCCAGUUUUAAUCUUCCAGGUUUUAGCUGCUCAUCGCUGGAUUCUUUCGUGGUUGUCCAUGUGGUUCCUGUCCUCCUGGUUCCUGUUUGUUGGAUCUCCUGAGCCUGGAAUCCUCCACCUUCAACACCGUCUGUCAGGUGGAGGAAGAUAAGAGAACCCAGUUGACGAAAAAAGUAAGAACAUUUCUAUCUACAAAACAUAACUAAACAUUUCAGAUGGAGCUGCAUAGAGUUGAGCUGAAAGUUACAAACUGGUUCUGUCUGCUGUCCAUGAUUAUUUUCCUCUUUAACUCUGUUGUCUUUUCUCUUUAUUUCAUUUCUCUGUCAACUCAUGUCACAUGACUUGAGUUGACCAACAAAUAAAACAGAAGACCUGCUCCACCUGCUGAUCUACUGGUUGGAAGAGAUUGUGGAAAAGCGAGACAAGACAACAACUUUUGACUAAUGAGGAGAGAGAAGACACAGAGGACUGAGGAGACGCAGAAAAUCCUGCUGGAAAUCAAUAAAAAUGUUUCCUGAUGGAACAGGGGGACGGCUGAGGACAGGACACAACAUAAAGAGACAGAGACCAUGUGAAGUUGGAUCUCCUGAGCCUGGAAUCCUCCACCUUCAACACCGUCUGUCAGGUGGAGGAAGAUAAGAGAACCCAGUUGACGAAAAAAGUAAGAACAUUUCUAUCUACAAAACAUAACUAAACAUUUCAGAUGGAGCUGCAUAGAGUUGAGCUGAAAGUUACAAACUGGUUCUGUCUGCUGUCCAUGAUUAUUUUCCUCUUUAACUCUGUUGUCUUUUCUCUUUAUUUCAUUUCUCUGUCAACUCAUGUCACAUGACUUGAGUUGACCAACAAAUAAAACAGAAGACCUGCUCCACCUGCUGAUCUACUGGUUGGAAGAGAUUGUGGAAAAGCGAGACAAGACAACAACUUUUGACUAAUGAGGAGAGAGAAGACACAGAGGACUGAGGAGACGCAGAAAAUCCUGCUGGAAAUCAAUAAAAAUGUUUCCUGAUGGAACAGGGGGACGGCUGAGGACAGGACACAACAUAAAGAGACAGAGACCAUGUGAAAUUCAAGGAUGGCCUUUCAACCCUGGAUUUCAUUUAUGCUUUGGAGCUUCAUGCUUCUGUGUUCAGGCCCUUUGUGUGCGGAAAAGCUGACAUCAGAAAUGUGAGAGGAAAUCUUUGAAGUUCAGCUCAGCGAAAAGGGCAGCACCAGACGACAAGAAGAAACCAGACUGCUAGGAUUCUCCUUGAGACAGACCAAACCUCGCUUUCCUGUUCAAACUCUGACAAGAUACCAAAGCCCAAGACAUACGAUCAGUUUCAAAGAAGACAUGAACUUUGAAUUACAAAACUCUUUGGACUUUAUUAAGUUCAAAUACAGAAUCACAAAACAUAAAUGUGGAUGUUGGCCUGUGAAGGCAGAUGUUAACUUGUGAAACCUGCUCUGUCAAAGUUCUGACUCUGCUGCAUUGUGGUUGUUUGACAACCUUUAAAUUUUAGACUCAUUUAUUUCCAAGUCCACCAUGUUUUCUAGUCUUGUGUAGUUUUCCACAUAGGAUUCCCAAGUUAGUGGAUGCACUAGGCCACUGUCUCUGGAGGUCCUCAAACUGUCCCUAAAGACGGUCAUGGCCACAUUGACUGCUGAUUGACUCGGUCAUAAACUGUCCCAAUUCCUCCUGGGAGUCUGGGAACCUACAGUCUGUUCUGCCAAACCCAGGAGUAAAAUAUGCAUCAAAACAGGACACAUAGUUUAGUUAUAUAUUUAUAUUUCUUCAUUCAACUGUCACUACCAACUGCUACGACUAUUGUUGAAAACUGUUGUAAUGUUUAAUUGUAUUUACAUAUAAAUAUUAGAAAUGAAAAUGUUUAUGUCAUCAGAAACUGUUCCAAUAAAAAGUGACAUAUUAUUAACACAUG